UACGUAGGGUCCAAGCGUUAUCCGGAAUUACUGGGCGUAAAGCGUGUGUAGGCGGCGCGUUAAGUGCAAUGCGAAAUCUUGUGGCUCAACCAUAUAGACUGUGUUGCAUACUGGCGUGCUCGAGGACGUGAGAGGCAAGUGGAAUUGGUAGUGUAGCAGUGAAAUGCGUAGAUAUUACCAGGAACACCAAUGGCGAAGGCGGAUCUCUGGGCCAUUACUGACGCUGAGGAGCGAAAGCGUGGGGAGCGAACAGG
Molecule: ribosomal RNA, 254 nt
Filed under: uncultured bacterium
Lineage: Bacteria
Description: partial 16S ribosomal RNA
Rfam family: Bacterial small subunit ribosomal RNA
Source: RNAcentral